CCCUUAGAUGUUCUGGGCCGCACGCGCGCUACACUGAUGCAUUCAACGAGUUUCUUCCUGGUCCGAGAGGAAUGGGUAACCUUUUGAAAGUGCAUCGUGAUAGGGAUAGACUAUUGCAAUUAUUGGUCUUCAACGAGGAAUUCCUAGUAGACGUAGUUCAUCAGACUGCAUCGAUUACGUCCCUGCCCUUUGUACACACCGCCCGUCGCUCCUACCGAUUGAAUGCUCAGGUGAGCCAUUCGGACUUUCAUCAUGCUGGUUUCCAGUUUUGAUGAAGGAAAGUCUUGCGAACCUUAUCAUUUAGAGGAAGGAUAAGUCGUAACA
Molecule: ribosomal RNA, 324 nt
Filed under: uncultured eukaryote
Lineage: Eukaryota
Description: partial 18S ribosomal RNA
Rfam family: Eukaryotic small subunit ribosomal RNA
Source: RNAcentral